RNAcentral lists this unclassified non-coding RNA (343 nucleotides) under soil metagenome. RNAcentral describes it as "partial contains 5.8S ribosomal RNA, internal transcribed spacer 2, and large subunit ribosomal RNA". The stretch from base 1 to 120 matches the Rfam family "5.8S ribosomal RNA", at positions 35 to 154 of the family's 154-position model. The record is from RNAcentral.
GAUGAAGAACGUAGCGAAAUGCGAUAAGUAAUGUGAAUUGCAGAAUCCAGUGAAUCAUCGAAUCUUUGAACGCACAUUGCGCCCGCCAGCAUUCUGGCGGGCAUGCCUGUUCGAGCGUCAUUUCAACCCUCGACCUCCCUUUGGGGAAGUCGGCGUUGGGGACCGGCAGCACACCGCCGGCCCUGAAAUGGAGUGGCGGCCCGUCCGCGGCGACCUCUGCGUAGUAAACCAACUCGCACCGGAACCCCGACGUGGCCACGCCGUAAAACACCCAACUUCUGAACGUUGACCUCGAAUCAGGUAGGACUACCCGCUGAACUUAAGCAUAUCAUUAAGCGGAGGA